CCUACGGGUGACAGCAGUGAGGAAUAUUGGUCAAUGGACGAGAGUCUGAACCAGCCAAGUAGCGUGAAGGAUGACUGCCCUAUGGGUUGUAAACUUCUUUUAUAUGGGAAUAAAAUGUUCCACGUGUGGGAUUUUGUAUGUACCAUAUGAAUAAGGAUCGGCUAACUCCGUGCCAGCAGCCGCGGUAAUACGGAGGAUCCGAGCGUUAUCCGGAUUUAUUGGGUUUAAAGGGUGCGUAGGUGGAUUGUUAAGUCAGUUGUGAAAGUUUGCGGCUCAACCGUAAAAUUGCAGUUGAAACUGGCAGUCUUGAGUACAGUAGAGGUAUGCGGAAUUCGUGGUGUAGCGGUGAAAUGCUUAGAUAUCGCGAAGAACUCCGAUUGCGAAGGCAGUUCACUGGACUGCAACUGACACUGAGGCUCGAAAGUGUGGGUAUCAAACAGGAUUAGAUACCCGGGUAGUC
This 460-nucleotide ribosomal RNA is filed under the name uncultured bacterium. RNAcentral describes it as "partial 16S ribosomal RNA". It matches the Rfam family "Bacterial small subunit ribosomal RNA", at positions 338 to 795 of the family's 1533-position model. The record is from RNAcentral.